Molecule: long non-coding RNA, 447 nt
Filed under: Ananas comosus (pineapple)
Lineage: Eukaryota; Viridiplantae; Streptophyta; Magnoliopsida; Poales; Bromeliaceae
Description: long non-coding RNA (ACOM_LNC043095)
Source: RNAcentral
UGGGGAUAGUUAGUCAUGAGUUUAGAAGGUGUUUAGAGGUAUUCGGUGCAAGUUGGGCGCGGGAAUGGACCUCGGAAUCAUGUUUGUAAUAUACCGGAUUUUUAAUAUAAAAGUAAAUAUAAAUAAAAAUAGUAUGAGAUACUAUUUUUAUUUGACUUAGAGAAGUUAAAUACAAGUCGGAAACGACUACUACUGAAAUCGGAACAGAAACAGAAGAUUUUGAAUUUUCUGUGAGAACCGAGGCUAUUUUAGCAGAAAAUUCACAGUGUCAGAAAAUUAUGAAAACUUGGAAUAUGUCGGGAUUAUUUUUAUAAGGCUAGAUUUAAAGUUUCAUGUCAUUCCGACACCCGGAAAGUGGAAAAUAAAAUCUGACUGCUAUCUGAUAGAGAUUUCAGUUCGGUAGAGCUUUCGGUGACCAAAAAUGGUCGAAACUGAAAGAUUAAAAUU